Dermacentor albipictus is the source of this 714-nucleotide long non-coding RNA. RefSeq lists it as uncharacterized. NCBI's taxonomy places the organism in Eukaryota, Metazoa, Arthropoda, Arachnida, Ixodida, Ixodidae. The record is from RefSeq and is a predicted model, not a curated record.
CGCAUGGCUUGUGUCUCGUUCGCGCGCGUACGUAUGGCUCCGCUUUUAGUUUUUGGCGAAUGCUUAGAAGCAUCAAGUUGCGGACACUGCGGUGGGCCAGGGCUUGAUGACAUUUGUUGUCCAGCUGCUGGUGCUACCGCGACGUAUUUGGAGCAACGCUUCUGCCUAUUUCCUCUGCCUGCACCUUAUAUUUGUUGUGUUUAUCGAGACCUGGCCUGUCUCUGCCUCGUUGAAGACAAAUGGGCAGAAGUACUGGUUGCUGUUGGUUUGUUUGGUUUGCUCAGUCUGAGCGUGCUGCAGAGCACUUGACCACUGCAGCAGUCAGGCAUGCUGUAUAUUGGGCAGUGCCAGGAAUUGCGAGAUCGAGACAGGCUGCCACUAGAAGUUCCUUGGGCCAGGAUUGCUCGUUGGCAGCACGUGCUCAUGCAGCAGCUGACGUGUCUUCGAUGUGUUUCGCCCUGGUAGUGCGGUCGUCUUUGUGGUUCUAGAGCUGCGCUGGCAUUGCCCAAGAACAGGAUAUAUCGGCAUGGCGCAGAAUUGCAGAGUGGGGGCGCUCCAUUCUAUUCCCACUCCAUUCCUUCAGAGUUGUGGCUUAUGUGAUUCCAGUCCUUUUGUCGGAGUUCUGACAGUUGAACCAUUCCCACUCCUUGAGUGGUCGAACUAAUCUACUCCAAUCCUCCAAUUACAGUAAAUAAAAUGCUUUCUGUAUAAUUA